RNAcentral lists this transfer RNA (76 nucleotides) under Candidatus Woesearchaeota archaeon. Its description in RNAcentral is "tRNA-His". It matches the Rfam family "tRNA". Rfam says of the family: Transfer RNA (tRNA) molecules are approximately 80 nucleotides in length. Their secondary structure includes four short double-helical elements and three loops (D, anti-codon, and T loops). The record is from RNAcentral. Lineage: Archaea; Nanobdellati; Candidatus Woesearchaeota.
AUGGCAAUGGUAGAGUGGUUUCAUAUGCAGGCCUGUGGAGCCUGAGAGGCGGGUUCGAUUCCCGCUUGCCAUCCCA